GGAGCAGCGAAGAAUUAGUUGCGAAACUGAUUGACUGACGGCGGGAGAGAUCCCGCCGUU
This 60-nucleotide non-coding RNA is filed under the name Candidatus Koribacter versatilis Ellin345. RNAcentral's name for it is "Acido-1 RNA". It matches the Rfam family "Acido-1 RNA". The record is from Rfam by way of RNAcentral. Lineage: Bacteria; Pseudomonadati; Acidobacteriota; Terriglobia; Terriglobales; Candidatus Korobacteraceae.